UGAGGAAUAUUGGUCAAUGGGCGAGAGCCUGAACCAGCCAAGUAGCGUGCGGGAUGAAGGCCCUAUGGGUUGUAAACCGCUUUUACAGGGGGAUAAAGUGAGUCACGUGUGAUUCAUUGCAGGUACCCUGCGAAUAAGGACCGGCUAAUUCCGUGCCAGCAGCCGCGGUAAUACGUAGGUGGCGAGCGUUGUCCGGAAUUAUUGGGCGUAAAGGGAGCGCAGGCGGGAAGGUAAGUCUAUCUUAAAAGUGCGGGGCUCAACCCCGUGAGGGGAUGGAAACUAUCUUUCUUGAGUGCAGGAGAGGAAAGCGGAAUUCCUAGUGUAGCGGUGAAAUGCGUAGAUAUUAGGAGGAGCACCAGUGGCGAAGGCGGCUUACUGGACGAUAACUGACGCUGAGGCUCGAAAGCGUGGGGAGCAAACAGGAUUAGAUACCCUGGUAGU
Molecule: ribosomal RNA, 441 nt
Filed under: uncultured Mitsuokella sp.
Lineage: Bacteria; Bacillati; Bacillota; Negativicutes; Selenomonadales; Selenomonadaceae
Description: bacterial SSU rRNA
Rfam family: Bacterial small subunit ribosomal RNA
Source: RNAcentral